AUGGCAUGGACGCGCUACCACGCCUCCUCGACGCAUCCCCCGGCCAUCCCUGCUUGUCGUCGUCCCGAAUCUAGCCCCGACGACGCCCCCCUUCCUCCAUGGGUCCUACUCGACGACCGCGCAUACCUCGCCGGCGAAUCCAACCACACCACAGCCGUCUCCCGCACAAGGCACGGCGACCAGAUCCAAGCCACCUUCUUCCUCGCCGACCCGCCGCUCGUCUCCCACUUCGCCGUCUCCUGCGCCGCCGAGCUUGGCUGCGAGCCCAGGAUCCUCUACACGGAGGCCAACCUCGUCCUCCUCGUCUCGGUGCCCGGCGACCCCCGCAACGCCAUCGACCCCCGGAAGAACGACUUCUACGUCUACGAGGUGGACGACGACGCCGGCCCUCCCAAGGCCACACUGACGCUGCUUCCGCACCCCCCGCCCGACUUGUUCCCCUUCCCUCGGGACAGAUGCUACUACUUCCAUGACCGCCAGGUAGGACUCCUGCGCCACCGCAGGAACUCCGACAACGGCGGCGGCGGCGGCUUUUAUCUUCUCCAGCACCGUCCCAGAGCCUAUGACGCCUACAUCGUUGCCGCGCUCUGUACACGGCUAACCUUCCCGGAGACGUUAGGCCUUUACACCUACGUCUCCGACACCGAGGUGUGGAGCAGCAAACCAGCCUCAUUCCCAGACGGCGGCAAACUGCCCCGAGCCGCCCUUCGAUGUGACAAGGUUAUCACCAUCGGAGGAGAAGCCGGCACCAUGGCCUGGGUCGAUCUCAUGCGGGGUAUCAUCCUAUGUGAUGUGCUCCCACUCGACGACGACGCCAAGACGCUUCGCUACAUCCCUCUGCCGGACCCCAUCCGGCCAGACGACACCAUCGACGAAUCUGGAGGCAUGUACCGGGACGUCGCCGUCGUCGGCAGCCGCAUCAAGUAUGCUGAGGUGAAGAUGCACGUCAGGCCGGGCUCGGCCGGCCCGAAAGGCUCCUUCACCAUCGAUGGCUGGACCGCCGUCGUAUGGAGCAGGCCGGCCAAUUCCUUCAAGGAGUCAACCACCUGGCGCAAGGACCAUGAGGUCCAUGCUCACGAGGUCUCUUUCGUUGACGGCAAAAACAAGACGGCGCCAGGCUUUGAGUUGCUCCCGGCUGUGGUGGAUCACCAAGGCAACCCGCAGCCGACCUUGGUGGGGAUCCACGUUGGCCAUCCCAAGCUCAGCCUGCACGUCGGUGACAACACCCUUUACUUGAUGGCCAAGGUCAACCGCUGGUACGACAAAGCAUGGGUGAUCGCUGUCGACAUGAAGAACAAGAGGCUGCGGGCAGUGGCCGAGUUUGGUGGAGCACCAAGGUGCAUGGCGUUUCUCCAUGCCUAUAGGCAAAGCAGGAUCUCGGAGCAUCUCAAUGUCUCCCAAGGUACAAAGAGUCACCUGAAACGACCAGGGAUGCCACUGCCACAUGGAAGCUCUCACAAGAAGCCAGAGAUCCCUCCGCAUCAUGUGAUGCAUCACUGUCCCAGUGGACAAAACCCCAGGGCGACAUGGCCCACAUUUCCCGCACAGACUACUGAUGAUGAGGAUUAUGAUGAUGAUGAACGGACAAGGAUGGCAGACGACAUGGACUUGGAAUAA
RNAcentral lists this ribosomal RNA (1617 nucleotides) under Triticum aestivum (bread wheat). RNAcentral describes it as "partial small subunit ribosomal RNA". The record is from RNAcentral. Lineage: Eukaryota; Viridiplantae; Streptophyta; Magnoliopsida; Poales; Poaceae.